RNAcentral lists this ribosomal RNA (1406 nucleotides) under uncultured bacterium. RNAcentral's name for it is "partial 16S ribosomal RNA". It matches the Rfam family "Bacterial small subunit ribosomal RNA". The record is from RNAcentral.
AGAGUUUGAUCCUGGCUCAGGACGAACGCUGGCGGCGUGCCUAAUACUUGCAAGUCGAGCGAAUCGACGGGAGCUUGCUCCCUUAGAUUAGCGGCGGACGGGUGAGUAACACGUGGGUAACCUGCCUAUAAGACUGGGAUAACUUCGGGAAACCGGAGCUAAUACCGGAUAAUUUCUUCCCUCGCAUGAGGGAAGAUGGAAAGACGGUUCUGCUGUCACUUAUAGAUGGACCCGCGGCGCAUUAGCUAGUUGGUGAGGUAAUGGCUCACCAAGGCGACGAUGCGUAGCCGACCUGAGAGGAUGACCAGCCACACUGGAGCUGAGACACGGUCCAGACUCCUACGGGAGGCAGCAGUGGGGAAUAUUGCACAAUGGGCGCAAGCCUGAUGCAGCCAUGCCGCGUGUGUGAAGAAGGCCUUCGGGUUGUAAAGCACUUUCAGCGGGGAGGAAGGCGGUGAGGUUAAUAACCUCAUCGAUUGACGUUACCCGCAGAAGAAGCACCGGCUAACUCCGUGCCAGCAGCCGCGGUAAUACGGAGGGUGCAAGCGUCAAUCGGAAUUACUGGGCGUAAAGCGCACGCAGGCGGUCUGUCAAGUCGGAUGUGAAAUCCCCGGGCUCAACCUGGGAACUGCGUUCGAAACUGGCAGGCUAGAGUCUUGUAGAGGGGGGUAGAAUUCCAGGUGUAGCGGUGAAAUGCGUAGAGAUCUGGAGGAAUACCGGUGGCGAAGGCGGCCCCCUGGACAAAGACUGACGCUCAGGUGCGAAAGCGUGGGGAGCAAACAGGAUUAGAUACCCUGGUAGUCCACGCCGUAAACGAUGUCGAUUUGGAGGUUGUGCCCUUGAGGCGUGGCUUCCGGAGCUAACGCGUUAAAUCGACCGCCUGGGGAGUACGGCCGCAAGGUUAAAACUCAAAUGAAUUGACGGGGGCCCGCACAAGCGGUGGAGCAUGUGGUUUAAUUCGAUGCAACGCGAAGAACCUUACCUGGUCUUGACAUCCACAGAACUUUCCAGAGAUGGAUUGGUGCCUUCGGGAACUGUGAGACAGGUGCUGCAUGGCUGUCGUCAGCUCGUGUUGUGAAAUGUUGGGUUAAGUCCCGCAACGAGCGCAACCCUUAUCCUUUGUUGCCAGCGGUCCGGCCGGGAACUCAAAGGAGACUGCCAGUGAUAAACUGGAGGAAGGUGGGGAUGACGUCAAGUCAUCAUGGCCCUUACGACCAGGGCUACACACGUGCUACAAUGGCAUAUACAAAGAGGAGCGACCUCGCGAGAGCAAGCGGACCUCAUAAAGUAUGUCGUAGUCCGGAUUGGAGUCUGCAACUCGACUCCAUGAAGUCGGAAUCGCUAGUAAUCGUAGAUCAGAAUGCUACGGUGAAUACGUAACCGGGCCUUGCACACACCGCCCGUCA